UCUAGGUCAUCUGGCUUUCCGGGAUGCCGGUUUCAUACACAGUCAAGACAUGGCAUCCUACGGCACAUGGCUGGAAGAGAUGCAGCAGCACGAGGAAGAAGGGCUCAGGCGGACAGGGAGGAGCUGCUUGAACAUCAUGCAGCGGGCCUAUAAACAUCGGCAGAAAGGCAGGGUCCGGCGCCUUGUGAGGAGGCUGCUCUGCUGUAUUCACAGGGAACCUUACCCGCAGGACUUCCUGAGCUGCAUGCCAGAACAUCCGCAGUAGCGCCAGGCCAAGGCAACGUGAACAUCAGAGUUGUGCUGCAGAGAUACCGUCUUCUGCUCUCCGUGGGAUCCAGCCUGGAUCAGCGCCAGGAACAUCAAGGCCAUCAGGAUCGACCAAGAGGAGUGGUGCUGCCCUCACGACCCUCCGUACAUAGCGGUAGGAAACCUUUUGUUGUUGUUGUCUUUUUUGUUGAUGUUGGUUUUGACUGUUGAUGUUAACUAGUCCACGAUCUAGUCUCGCCCCAUAAGUAUCGCCCCCAAAGGGACGAUCUUUCCUUUCUUGUUUUCCCUUUGUUGGGGGUCCCACCCCCAGGACAGGCAGGCUUUAUGGAGCUCCCCCAGUCGCUGGUGUACGCCCAGGGUCCGGUUCCUUGCAGGACUCUCUGCCGUCCUCUCAAGUCCUCCCCAGCAGCAACUUUCUUCCAUUUCUUUGCUUAUUCACCAAGAGCGGGGAUUGUUAGGGGCGGGGGCAAUAAGAGGGUCUAACAUUCAUGAGAUUUCGUACCCUUUCUAACAGAAUCUCUUUUCUCUCUUUCCUGCAUGGAACAAAACCGCGAUGGGAAACGGCGGCCUAUCUGCUGGAGCCUGGGAGGAGACGUCCGGAUAAAAGAAGAAUGUCAUCAGCCGCGAAAGAAGCCGCCCUGAAGACGACACCUGCAACAUCGACCCUCCACCUGGCAGUGGAUUUCAGGACUGGACACUUUCUAUUGACUCUUUCGGGACUUAAAACAGCAAGCGGGACUUUCUUUAGUAAGAUAGGUUGAAAUGGAUGUAUAGAAUAGGAUAGGCAAAACAGGGAGCAUUCAAGGUUACGAGAUAGUGUUUUGUAUAUUAUUUUUGUUCCU
Zootoca vivipara (common lizard) is the source of this 1109-nucleotide non-coding RNA. NCBI's taxonomy places the organism in Eukaryota, Metazoa, Chordata, Lepidosauria, Squamata, Lacertidae. The record is from RefSeq and is a predicted model, not a curated record.